This 497-nucleotide ribosomal RNA is filed under the name uncultured bacterium. RNAcentral's name for it is "partial 16S ribosomal RNA". It matches the Rfam family "Bacterial small subunit ribosomal RNA", at positions 28 to 507 of the family's 1533-position model. The record is from RNAcentral.
GAUGAACGCUGGCGGCGUGCCUAAUACAUGCAAGUCGAGCGAACAGACGAGGAGCUUGCUCCUCUGACGUUAGCGGCGGACGGGUGAGUAACACGUGGAUAACCUACCUAUAAGACUGGGAUAACUUCGGGAAACCGGAGCUAAUACCGGAUAAUAUAUUGAACCGCAUGGUUUAAUAGUGAAAGACGGUUUUGCUGUCACUUAUAGAUGGAUCCGCGCCGCAUUAGCUAGUUGGUAAGGUAACGGCUUACCAAGGCGACGAUGCGUAGCCGACCUGAGAGGGUGAUCGGCCACACUGGAACUGAGACACGGUCCAGACUCCUACGGGAGGCAGCAGUAGGGAAUCUUCCGCAAAGGGCGAAAGCCUGACGGAGCAACGCCGCGUGAGUGAUGAAGGUCUUCGGAUCGUAAAACUCUGUUAUUAGGGAAGAACAAAUGUGUAAGUAACUAUGCACGUCUUGACGGUACCUAAUCAGAAAGCCACGGCUAACUACGUG